AGACCCGAAACCCGGUGAUCUAGCCAUGGGCAGGUUGAAGGUUGGGUAACACUAACUGGAGGACCGAACCGACUAAUGUUGAAAAAUUAGCGGAUGACCUGUGGCUGGGGGUGAAAGGCCAAUCAAACCGGGAGAUAGCUGGUUCUCCCCGAAAGCUAUUUAGGUAGCGCCUCGUGAAUUCAUCUCCGGGGGUAGAGCACUGUUUCGGCUAGGGGGCCAUCCCGGCUUACCAACCCGAUGCAAACUGCGAAUACCGGAGAAUGUUAUCACGGGAGACACACGGCGGGUGCUAACGUCCGUCGUGAAGAGGGAAACAACCCAGACCGCCAGCUAAGGUCCCAAAGUCAUGGUUAAGUGGGAAACGAUGUGGGAAGGCCCAGACAGCCAGGAUGUUGGCUUAGAAGCAGCCAUCAUUUAAAGAAAGCGUAAUAGCUCACUGGUCGAGUCGGCCUGCGCGGAAGAUGUAACGGGGCUAAACCAUGCACCGAAGCUGCGGCAGCGACACUGUG
Molecule: ribosomal RNA, 509 nt
Filed under: Salmonella enterica
Lineage: Bacteria; Pseudomonadati; Pseudomonadota; Gammaproteobacteria; Enterobacterales; Enterobacteriaceae
Also listed under: 7 other names
Description: partial 23S ribosomal RNA
Rfam family: Bacterial large subunit ribosomal RNA
Source: RNAcentral